UACGUAGGGUGCGAGCGUUGUCCAGAAUUACUGGGCGUAAAGAGCUCGUAGGUGGUUUGUCGCGUUGUCCGUGAAAACUCACAACUCAAUUGUGGGCGUGCGGGCGAUACGGGCAGACUGGAGUACUGCAGGGGAGACUGGAAUUCCAGGUGUAGCGGUGAAAUGCGUAGAUAUCUGGAGGAACACCGGUGGCGAAGGCGGCAUCCUGGACCGACACUGACGCUGAGGCGCGAAAGCUAGGGGAGCAAACGGG
RNAcentral lists this ribosomal RNA (253 nucleotides) under uncultured bacterium. RNAcentral describes it as "partial 16S ribosomal RNA". It matches the Rfam family "Bacterial small subunit ribosomal RNA", at positions 524 to 776 of the family's 1533-position model. The record is from RNAcentral.